GAUCAUGGCUCAGGAUGAACGCUGGCGGCGUGCUUAACACAUGCAAGUCGAACGGGCUUAAGACUGAAGCUUGCUUUAGUUUAAGUUAGUGGCGGACGGGUGAGUAACGCGUGGGCAACCUACCCUGUGCAGGGGGAUAGCAGCUGGAAACGGCUGAUAAAACCGCAUAAAACGGCAGUACCGCAUGGUACAACCGUCAAAUAUUCAUAGGCACAGGAUGGGCCCGCGUCUGAUUAGCUAGUUGGUGGGGCAACGGCCUACCAAGGCGACGAUCAGUAGCCGGCCUGAGAGGGUGAACGGCCACAUUGGGACUGAGACACGGCCCAAACUCCUACGGGAGGCAGCAGUGGGGAAUAUUGGACAAUGGGGGAAACCCUGAUCCAGCGACGCCCGCGUGAGUGAAGAAGUAUUUCGGUAUGUAAAGCUCUAUCAGCAGGGAAGAUGAUGACGGUACCUGACUAAGAAGCACCGGCUAAAUACGUGCCAGCAGCAGC
RNAcentral lists this ribosomal RNA (494 nucleotides) under uncultured bacterium. RNAcentral's name for it is "bacterial SSU rRNA". It matches the Rfam family "Bacterial small subunit ribosomal RNA", at positions 15 to 518 of the family's 1533-position model. The record is from RNAcentral.